UAGGGAAUCUUCCACAAUGGGCGAGAGCCUGAUGGAGCAACGCCGCGUGUGUGAUGAAGGGUUUCGGCUCGUAAAACACUGUUGUAAGAGAAGAAUGACAUUGAGAGUAACUGUUCAAUGUGUGACGGUAUCUUGCCAGAAAGGAACGGCUAAAUACGUGCCAC
Molecule: ribosomal RNA, 164 nt
Filed under: uncultured bacterium
Lineage: Bacteria
Description: partial 16S rRNA
Rfam family: Bacterial small subunit ribosomal RNA
Source: RNAcentral